UACUAUUUAACUUAGGUACAACCCUGCCCUCUGACUUUUAACAGCCGCGGUAUCCUAACCGUGCUAAGGUAGCAUAAUCACUUGCCUAUUAAUUAUAGGCUAGAAUGAACGGGAUCACUCACUUAAACUUAUUUUUAUUUAAAUUUAAAUUAAACUUUAAGUCAAAAUACUAAAUUAAAAAGAAAGACAAAAAGACCCUGAAAACUAUUAGAAAUAAUUAGUUGGGGCAACUAUAGACCACUCUAGCGUCUAUUUUUUUAAACUCUUAAAAUCUAAAGUAUCCAGUUACUUCAGGGAUAACAGACUAAUUUUAUUAUUUAGACCCAAUAAAUAAUAAAGAUUGGCACCUCGAUGUUGGCUUAUAUUUCCUUCAUAUAGCAACAUAUAUAGAAGGCAGGCUUGUUCAUC
Molecule: ribosomal RNA, 408 nt
Filed under: Stygocapitella sp. 169_10
Lineage: Eukaryota; Metazoa; Annelida; Polychaeta; Parergodrilidae
Description: partial large subunit ribosomal RNA
Rfam family: Archaeal large subunit ribosomal RNA
Source: RNAcentral